RNAcentral lists this ribosomal RNA (497 nucleotides) under uncultured bacterium. RNAcentral's name for it is "partial 16S ribosomal RNA". It matches the Rfam family "Bacterial small subunit ribosomal RNA", at positions 28 to 507 of the family's 1533-position model. The record is from RNAcentral.
GAUGAACGCUGGCGGCGUGCCUAAUACAUGCAAGUCGAGCGAACGGACGAGAAGCUUGCUUCUCUGAUGUUAGCGGCGGACGGGUGAGUAACACGUGGAUAACCUACCUAUAAGACUGGGAUAACUUCGGGAAACCGGAGCUAAUACCGGAUAAUAUUUUGAACCGCAUGGUUCAAAAGUGAAAGACGGUCUUGCUGUCACUUAUAGAUGGAUCCGCGCUGCAUUAGCUAGUUGGUAAGGUAACGGCUUACCAAGGUAACGAUGCAUAGCCGACCUGAGAGGGUGAUCGGCCACACUGGAACUGAGACACGGCCCAGACUCCUACGGGAGGCAGCAGUAGGGAAUCUUCCGCAAUGGGCGAAAGCCUGACGGAGCAACGCCGCGUGAGUGAUGAAGGUCUUCGGAUCGUAAAACUCUGUUAUUAGGGAAGAACAUAUGUGUAAGUAACUGUGCACAUCUUGACGGUACCUAAUCAGAAAGCCACGGCUAACUACGUG